This 173-nucleotide unclassified non-coding RNA is filed under the name rhizosphere metagenome. Its description in RNAcentral is "partial ribosomal RNA internal transcribed spacer region". The record is from RNAcentral.
GAGUUCAUGCCCGAAAGGGUAGACCUCCCACUCUUGUGUAUUAUUACUUUGUUGCUUUGGCGAGCUGCCUUCGGGCCUUGUAUGUUCGCCAGAGAAUAUCAAAACUCUUUUUAUUAGUGCCGUCUGAGUACUAUAUAAUAGUUAAAACUUUCAACAACGGAUCUCUUGGUUCU